RNAcentral lists this ribosomal RNA (253 nucleotides) under uncultured bacterium. Its description in RNAcentral is "partial 16S ribosomal RNA". It matches the Rfam family "Bacterial small subunit ribosomal RNA", at positions 524 to 776 of the family's 1533-position model. The record is from RNAcentral.
UACGUAGGGCGCAAGCGUUGUCCGGAAUUAUUGGGCGUAAAGAGCUCGUAGGCGGUUUGUCGCGUCUGCUGUGAAAACUCGAGGCUCAACCUCGGGCUUGCAGUGGGUACGGGCAGACUAGAGUGCGGUAGGGGUGACUGGAAUUCCUGGUGUAGCGGUGGAAUGCGCAGAUAUCGGGAGGAACACCAAUUGCGAAGGCAGCUUGCUGGGACGGUACUGACGCUGAGGCGCGAAAGCGUGGGGAGCAAACAGG